Molecule: ribosomal RNA, 253 nt
Filed under: uncultured bacterium
Lineage: Bacteria
Description: partial 16S ribosomal RNA
Rfam family: Bacterial small subunit ribosomal RNA
Source: RNAcentral
UACGAAGGGGGCUAGCGUUGCUCGGAAUCACUGGGCGUAAAGGGUGCGUAGGCGGGUCUUUAAGUCAGGGGUGAAAUCCUGGAGCUCAACUCCAGAACUGCCUUUGAUACUGAAGAUCUUGAGUUCGGGAGAGGUGAGUGGAACUGCGAGUGUAGAGGUGAAAUUCGUAGAUAUUCGCAAGAACACCGGUGGCGAAGGCGGCCCACUGGUCCGGUACUGACGCUGAGGUGCGAAAGCGUGGGGAGCAAACAGG